AUUGAACGCUGGCGGCAUGCUUUACACAUGCAAGUCGAACGGUAACAGGCCUUCGGGUGCUGCCGAGUGGCGAACGGGUGAGUAAUGCAUCGGAACGUACCCAGAGGUGGGGGAUAACGCAGCGAAAGCUGUGCUAAUACCGCAUGCGAUCUGAGGAUGAAAGCGGGGGACCGAGCAGCAAUGUUUGGCCUCGCGCCUUUGGAGCGGCCGAUGUCGGAUUAGCUAGUUGGUGGGGUAAAGGCCUACCAAGGCGACGAUCCGUAGCUGGUCUGAGAGGACGAACAGCCACACUGGGACUGAGACACGGCCCAGACUCCUACGGGAGGCAGCAGUGGGGAAUGUUGGACAAUGGGCGCAAGCCUGAUCCAGCAAUGCCGCGUGAGGGAAGAAGGCCUUCGGGUUGUAAACCGCUUUUGGCAGGAACGAAACGGUGUCCGCUAAUAACGGGCGCUAAUGACGGUACCUGCAGAAUAAGCACCGGCUAACUACGUG
This 492-nucleotide ribosomal RNA is filed under the name uncultured bacterium. RNAcentral's name for it is "partial 16S ribosomal RNA". It matches the Rfam family "Bacterial small subunit ribosomal RNA", at positions 29 to 507 of the family's 1533-position model. The record is from RNAcentral.